AUUGAACGCUGGCGGCAGGGCUAACACAUGCAAGUCGAGCGGAUGAAGGGAGCUUGCUCCUGGAUUCAGCGGCGGACGGGUGAGUAAUGCCUAGGAAUCUGCCUGGUAGUGGGGGAUAACGUCCGGAAACGGGCGCUAAUACCGCAUACGUCCUGAGGGAGAAAGUGGGGGAUCUUCGGACCUCACGCUAUCAGAUGAGCCUAGGUCGGAUUAGCUAGUUGGUGGGGUAAAGGCCUACCAAGGCGACGAUCCGUAACUGGUCUGAGAGGAUGAUCAGUCACACUGGAACUGAGACAUGGUCCAGACUCCUACGGGAGGCAGCAGUGGGGAAUAUUGGACAAUGGGCGAAAGCCUGAUCCAGCCAUGCCGCGUGUGUGAAGAAGGUCUUCGGAUUGUAAAGCACUUUAAGUUGGGAGGAAGGGCAGUAAGUUAAUACCUUGCUGUUUUGACGUUACCAACAGAAUAAGCACCGGCUGACUUCGUG
Molecule: ribosomal RNA, 484 nt
Filed under: uncultured bacterium
Lineage: Bacteria
Description: partial 16S ribosomal RNA
Rfam family: Bacterial small subunit ribosomal RNA
Source: RNAcentral